CAGAGAAUGCAAGUUUGAAAACGAUGAAUACAGACCAGUUACUUGAUCUAUUUACUUCGGCCGAAAGUAAAAAGGGAGCCAGUAGAUCCAAAAGAAGCGAUGAAAAAUCUGAUGUGGACUCAAUCUUGCCACGUAGUGGGAAGGGCUUGAAAGCCAUUCUCGGAGGAUUGGAGGAGCUUUGGGAUCAGUCACAAUACACAGAGGAGUACAACCUGGGCCAGUUCUUAGCAAAGCUUAAUGGUUAAUUAUCUAAACUUCUCUGCACAUUGCAUUGGAAUAUGCUGAGCAAGGUAGGGAUGAGAUGCAGCUGUGCGUUCCAUGUACAAAGUGUACAUUCUUUGAGUCUGCCCACAAUUUUGACGAUUAGAGGUAGUUCUCUUUUAUAUUGUUUUCGUGAUAAUUCUAGGCAGGCAAAUACAUUUUUGGACUCCAUUGACAUAGAAGAGUUUAUAGCGGAGCACAGUUGUGGGAUGCCCCUGUUAGGAAAGCUGACAUUUGUAAAUCUUGGAUGAUGUAAAUACAUUCAGCUUUUCUUUAUUAAUUGAUGCAAUCAAAAAUGAAUGUUGGUUUCA
Molecule: long non-coding RNA, 572 nt
Organism: Solanum dulcamara
Lineage: Eukaryota; Viridiplantae; Streptophyta; Magnoliopsida; Solanales; Solanaceae
Exons: 2
Source: RefSeq, a predicted model, not a curated record